RNAcentral lists this ribosomal RNA (345 nucleotides) under uncultured bacterium. RNAcentral describes it as "bacterial SSU rRNA". It matches the Rfam family "Bacterial small subunit ribosomal RNA", at positions 373 to 710 of the family's 1533-position model. The record is from RNAcentral.
GGACGGAAGUCUGACCCAGCAACGCCGCGUGAGUGAAGAAGGUUUUCGGAUCGUAAAGCUCUGUUGUAAGAGAAGAACGAGUGUGAGAGUGGAAAGUUCACACUGUGACGGUAUCUUACCAGAAAGGGACGGCUAACUACGUGCCAGCAGCCGCGGUAAUACGUAGGUCCCGAGCGUUGUCCGGAUUUAUUGGGCGUAAAGCGAGCGCAGGCGGUUAGAUAAGUCUGAAGUUAAAGGCUGUGGCUUAACCAUAGUACGCUUUGGAAACUGUUUAACUUGAGUGCAAGAGGGGAGAGUGGAAUUCCAUGUGUAGCGGUGAAAUGCGUAGAUAUAUGGAGGAACACC